Molecule: long non-coding RNA, 405 nt
Filed under: Oryza brachyantha (malo sina)
Lineage: Eukaryota; Viridiplantae; Streptophyta; Magnoliopsida; Poales; Poaceae
Description: long non-coding RNA (OBRA_LNC000154)
Source: RNAcentral
AUGGAUUUUUUCCGCCAAUUGUGUCGAUGAUGUUGUGUCUCCUCAUGCCCUUGAGGGUCCCUGUGCCUCCCUUUAUAUACCACAUGACAGAGUUACAAGGUGGAAAACCUAGCUGAAUACAACUUUGGUUUUCUUAUCUUUACAAGAUGAUAUAGAUGACAAUAUAUUAUCUGAGGUAUAGUCUAUCUAAUAUCUGUUGGAUCCAUCUAUGCAUAACAAGUUACGCCUUCUACAUGAGUACACAAUAUUCAUAUCUUCCACAUGAAUUAACAUGCCAUACAAACCAUACAUAUGAAGAGUGGGAAUAUGGUCCUUGAGAAAAUACCUAGAGGUACCAAAUUUGUAAUGUAGAAUUUUAAUACCUCGAGAUACCAAAUAUUUUUAAAAAAUUAUUAUACUAAAAGA